This 519-nucleotide ribosomal RNA is filed under the name uncultured bacterium. RNAcentral describes it as "bacterial SSU rRNA". It matches the Rfam family "Bacterial small subunit ribosomal RNA", at positions 26 to 518 of the family's 1533-position model. The record is from RNAcentral.
AGGACGAACGCUGGCGGCGUGCCUAAUACAUGCAAGUCGAACGGUCUUUCUAUGGAAGCUUGCUUCCACUGAGAAGAUAGUGGCGAACGGGUGAGUAACACGUGGGUAACCUGCCCAUAAGAGGGGGAUAACAUCCGGAAACGGGUGCUAGUACCGCAUAGUUUUCUUGAUCGCAUGAUUGAGAAAGGAAAGACGGCCUUUGUGCUGUCGCUUAUGGAUGGACCCGCGGCGUAUUAGUUAGUUGGUGAGGUAACGGCUCACCAAGACGAUGAUACGUAGCCGACCUGAGAGGGUGAUCGGCCACAUUGGGACUGAGACACGGCCCAAACUCCUACGGGAGGCAGCAGUAGGGAAUCUUCCGCAAUGGACGAAAGUCUGACGGAGCAACGCCGCGUGAGUGAAGAAAGGUUUUCGGAUCGUAAAACUCUGUUGUCAGAGAAGAACAAGUUGGAGAGUAACUGCUCCAGCCUUGACGGUAUCUGACCAGAAAGCCACGGCUAACUACGUGCCAGCAGCCGC